Molecule: long non-coding RNA, 356 nt
Organism: Cervus elaphus (red deer)
Lineage: Eukaryota; Metazoa; Chordata; Mammalia; Artiodactyla; Cervidae
Exons: 3
Source: RefSeq, a predicted model, not a curated record
UUAAGUGAGGCCAGCUGAGAGAGGCGCUAAUUCACUAGCCCUGGUGUUCUUGGAAGAAGAGGACGAAGAAACCCAGCCCCUUCCUUCUCCACCAGAGAGGACGCAGCAAAAGCGGCCAUCUGCUGCCAAGAAGAGAGCUUGUACCAGAAACCUACCCCAACGGCCCCUUGCUUUGAGACUUGCAGACUCCAGAACUCUUAAAUGAAAUCGGAAACACAAGAUACAGUAUAGUCCAGAGUGCCAUCCAGGAUGCCACAUGACAGUAGAUCAUCCUGUCCCCUGGAGCUUCCCUUGGCAGUGACAGUUGGUCGUGCUGUCCUUGCUUAUCAAGACCUUGGAGGACUGGUCAGGUAUGU